This 253-nucleotide ribosomal RNA is filed under the name uncultured bacterium. RNAcentral's name for it is "partial 16S ribosomal RNA". It matches the Rfam family "Bacterial small subunit ribosomal RNA", at positions 524 to 776 of the family's 1533-position model. The record is from RNAcentral.
UACGUAGGGCGCAAGCGUUGUCCGGAAUUAUUGGGCGUAAAGAGCUCGUAGGCGGCCAGUUGCGUCCGCUGUGAAAUCCCGGGGCUUAACCCCGGGCGUGCAGUGGAUACGGGCUGGCUGGAGGCAGGCAGGGGAGACUGGAAUUCCUGGUGUAGCGGUGAAAUGCGCAGAUAUCAGGAGGAACACCGGUGGCGAAGGCGGGUCUCUGGGCCGAUACUGACGCUGAGGAGCGAAAGCAUGGGUAGCGAACAGG